This is a long non-coding RNA of Oreochromis aureus, 539 nucleotides long. RefSeq lists it as uncharacterized. The transcript is spliced from 3 exons. The record is from RefSeq and is a predicted model, not a curated record. NCBI's taxonomy places the organism in Eukaryota, Metazoa, Chordata, Actinopteri, Cichliformes, Cichlidae.
GGAGUCCCUCCCUCUAAAACCACUCUGUGUGGGGAACAUGAGAGCCAGACCAAAGCUCAGAGGAACCCACCUGGACCUCCACCCAGCUCUGUGUCCUUAAGGGGUGACCGGUCUAAAGCUGACAUUAUUGAUUUUAAAGUCCAACCUCUGUCUGCUGCAGAGAGAGUGGACCAGGAAAGCUCAGAGGUUCCCAGUGAUCAGUCUGCCCAGCAGCAUCAAACACACCUGGACUCCAUAUUUAUGGUCUGUACAUGUACAACAACUACUUUUACAUCUAUUCUGUUCACAGAAAGAACAGCUAUUUUGUACUUAAACAUAUAGCAAGUUUAUUAGCAAGUAUUAGGUUUUUUUGUAGUAUUAGAGACAAGAUGAGGCAAGUUAGAAACACAAGUAAGCACUGUUUCGAAUAAACCAUUAGCUUUGGCAGCUGGGCUAGUCAGAACAAAAAUAGUCUUUGUAGUUUUAUCUGUUUUAUCUAUACCCCUGACCACUUUGACACAAAAUGCUACCAACAUGUUCUUCAAUUUUUGGCUGUCAUG